UCAUGACCUGAGCCGAAGGCAGAUGCUUAACAACUGACCCACCCAGGCGCCCAAACCUCGAUUUUAAUGUGGGUCGGUGCUGGUUGGUUCGCCCAGGCCUUAGAACAGGAGAAGCAGCAUUUCCUAGGUGUGAGACCCAAAAUGAGAUAUGAAAGUCCUAGUUCAGGAAAGCCCAGGGUUUAUUAAAUAAGUAAUCUGCCUUUGUGUGGUAGUUCAUAACAUGAUUUUUGGUCAUGAACCCUUUUGAGGUAUCUGAAAAAAGUUGAGGAUCCAUCCCCAAGAAAAAUGCACGUACACACAAAAUUUAACACCCUAUUUCAGGACUUCACUGAUGUUCUGCCUCCCCCGAAUGCCAUCAUGAAUCCUUGUUUAGGGCACUAGUCUCUCUAAUAGAGGGUAGGAAUGGGCAUGCCGGUGGUGUGUAAAAUGAUCUAUUGGAAUAUGGAAUUUCCUGUUUGUAUUUAUUUUCUCUCUUUUAAAGGCUUUUUUUCCCCCAUGUAGGUUUUACACUGCACAUCGUAUAUUAGCACUGUAGUACCUAGUAUGUGCAUAACAUUUAUAUAUAAAUAGAGUAACAAAAUUAAUUAUAAGGGCUCACAUUUUUUACUGAUGGGGAGGCAUGACUCAAAAUUGAUUGAUUACCAAUUUGAAGAGUGGUGCUAACUGAAUUUAAAUUUUCGACUCUGCUCCCCGUACAUUGGAGGGCCAAGGGUAGGAGAUUAACUCAAAAGGUGACUGGAAAUUUUGGACCUAAUGAUGGUACGUAACAUUUGCCCCCACUUCACGAAGCAAUUCGCAUCUGCCCCAUUUGGUCCUCCCGGUGGUACCGUGGGCUAGAGGUAGAGCAGACGCGCUAAUGGAAAUCUCUGAGAGCAGGCAUGUUCUCCAAAUUCUUACAGAUCUUAAGAGACUUUCCCACGUGCCCUUGGCCAGUUGGUGGUAGCGGUGGUGCACAUAACCUCGGCUGCUGACCACAAAUUAUGUGCUUAUUUGGCCCAACAGUGGGGAUAAGUCAAUCGUUAUGGGCUGUCGAUGGCCUCAAAGCUGCUGUUACCACCGUUCCCUGUGGACACUGAGUUGUUGAGUCCCUGGCUGAUCCAGGCACGGGGACAGAAAGCACAUUUUAGCUACUUGAUCAGAGGGCCAGGAAGCCGAGCUAACAAUUCAGCAUUAGCUCUCUCCUGUUGGUACUGUAAUACCAACAUAUUUCAAAACAGAUAGAGGGCUCUGGAAGGGUUUAGAUACAUCUAUGUACAAAAAAGAUUUACAAUGGGUUAUUAAAUGGGAGUUUUGAGGCUGGUUUCUCAGGAAGUGCCAACCACUCUUUCUCCCAAAUUUCCCUUGGUGCCACUGUCAAAGGCAAAGUACUCAUCUAGAUGGAUUGUUGUUCUGACCCAAAAUGACAUUUCCAACUUUUCUUAUAUAUAAUCCAAUUUCUGAACUUCUUUUUCAGUGAUAUUAAGUGGAAUAGCAGAAAACAGUAUUUUGGCAUUAAAGAUAGUAAAUGUGUUCUGCAUUGGUCAGGUGUCCUUGCUCUUUGCCAAAUGCAUUAGCUGUAUUGAUUUUAGAAUUUUAAAUGGCCCUUUUUACCAGACUUGAUUAAUGUCUCAUCCUCCAAUCUUGGCUACCUGCUCCUUCCUUCUCUCAUACACAAUCUUCUUCCCUCUCAGACUGGCACGAGUUAGAGGCGGCUGACCUUCAUCGGACCAAGGGUCAGGAAAUGUCGUGAGCGGGGUCCCUCGGGCCUGGUGAUUAGCCUCUAAAGACAGGGGGCUGGUUGUGCAAGGGUCAAGCCUUCAGUGCUCGGCCCAGGCCCCGGAAACACUCACAGUGGACCUCCUGGUUUGCCGUACUAUGGAACCCCCUAAGGGUACUGCCGCCUGGAACGUAUAGCUUUGUGCACCCUCCCUGGGGCCCCACAGUAAGUGAUCACAGUAAGUGGCCGGGUCACACCUUCUUUAAGCCAGCUUUCUUGGACUGUGGACCUGAGGGCAUAACAGAUUGAAGAAACCCAGAGAUUUCUAACUGGUUAUCAAGUAAGUUUGCGCUGGCCAUUUCAGUUCAUUUGUCGGGAGCACUCAUAUUCUGAUUACAGGGGUUUUGUUUUCUUUGUGUCAUUUGGUCAGGAAUAUUGCUUCAUUCUUGCCAGAUACAAACUGUUAGAACUUUGAAGGGCUGUGGAAAUCAUCGUAUCUAGUGGUUUCCCAGUGGAUGGAUGUACAACACAAUUUUGCAAGGUGCAUAAGAAUAUGGAUUCCUUACUAAAUCGUAAUUUGGUGGUUGAGAAUUGGGAAUCUGCAUUUUAAAAAGCAUCCCUGUGUUCCGAUUCGGGUGGUGGACAGACCAUAAUCUGAAGUUACCAUUUGGUUAGUAGACCUUGCUGACUUUUUAGAGCUGAUAUUAGGUUUUCACCAUGUUCAGUCUUUUGCUUUUGAAAUUAAUUGAAUCUUGAGAUGACUUACUUCAGGAGGCAAAUAUUACAAUCACAAUUAUGUUCUGCAACAGGAAAUAAGCUCUAAAUGAAUCUUAACAUUUUACUUGACACAUUACUAUGUUUAAGUGUAUUAAAGAUGUCAUUGAAAGGUGUAGGGGAGGAAAAUGAACUUGAUUUGGCAGGUAGGUGUUCAUGGUACUAUUAUCCACAGCUGUCUCUGCUGAUUGACGGCACACACAUUACCUCCUCACAGGCAUUGUACUCACUUGCAUCAGAUUUAAGUGUAUGGCAUUGUUACUGAAUAUUUGAAACUGUUUUAGUUAAUAGUAUUAAUUGUACAUAGACCAACUUUCAGCCACUGUUUCAGAGUGCUUAAUAGAUAACAAACCAGAAGGUUCUGUGGAUCUCCACGUGAAAUAAACUUAGGUCUGCAAUACCAUUUGCUUAAGUCUUAGUAUUUUGAGUAAGGCAAAUAUUUUAUAGUUCGGAGAGGGAAUCUCCCCCCAUGUUAUAGGUAGGGAACUGAGACACUGAAAGGUGGAGUGGUCGAGGUCACUCAGCCACAAUUGUAUUCACAACUGGAGUUCAGAUCUCCUGGGUCCUUCCUCUCUGCUCUUUCUACUGUACCAAAUUGCCUUUUUUGCAUAGUUUCUACCUAAUGAGAAACACUCAGUCUAAUGGCUGGUAGAGAUGCUAUAAUCCAUUAUUUAUAUUACAAAGAGCAUCGAAGCAAGGAAUUCUACUCGAUAUUUUCUUUCGGAAAACCAAACAUGCUUUAUUUCAUUUUUUUCACAAUUUAUUUAAACAUCUCACAUAUACAAAAUAGUGUGUACAAUUUUUCUGCUUGUCCGAGAAACAAGGCUUCUUUUUGGUACCACGGGAGAGGAUGAAAAUGAGACUGGCAAAGAACAAAUGCUGAAUUUAAAGAAGAGGACAAGGUUGGGCAAGUAAUCUGCAUACUUUUAUUUGGGAACAAGAUGUAAAAUACUGAUGCUAAAUCAGAUGAAAAGAGAAUACACAAUACAACUCAUUACAGAGGAUUA
Long non-coding RNA from Lutra lutra (Eurasian river otter), 3477 nucleotides. RefSeq lists it as uncharacterized. The transcript is spliced from 3 exons. NCBI's taxonomy places the organism in Eukaryota, Metazoa, Chordata, Mammalia, Carnivora, Mustelidae. The record is from RefSeq and is a predicted model, not a curated record.